Molecule: long non-coding RNA, 3314 nt
Organism: Acinonyx jubatus (cheetah)
Lineage: Eukaryota; Metazoa; Chordata; Mammalia; Carnivora; Felidae
Exons: 2
Source: RefSeq, a predicted model, not a curated record
AGAGAGAGAGAGAGAAUCUUAAGCCGGCUCCACGCUCAAGUGUGCAGCCCAAUGUGGGGCUUGAUCCCACGAACUGUGAGAUCAUGACCUGAGCUGAAAUCAAGAGUCGGACGUUCCGCCGAUUGAGCCCCUCAGGUGCCCCUCGAAUAAAUAUAUUUAAGAGAAUUAGAAUUUCAGUUUUGAAAUGUUGUCUAAAUCCUCUAAUAAUUGAUAGAAAAUAAGUAAACAGGAAUGGCAGUGUGAGUAAUUCAAGUAGCAGUGAAUGUAGAAAUCAUUCGUGGAACAAACUAGAAUAGCUGGUGCCGUCCCCCCACCCUGCACCCAUCACGUACAAACUCACCUUCCUGUGUCUGUUAAUCAAUGUGGUGUGUGUGAUGGGGCAGCCGGAGGCAACUGGGGAGGUUAAAAGUGGAGGUGAAUCCAGAAGAAAUGGCAAAUGUUUAUGAGGAUGUGAGGAAAAAGGAACAGUUGUGCACUCUUGGUGGGAACGCAAACUGGUGCAGCCAUUGUGGAAAACAGUAGGGAGGUUUGUCACAAAAUUAAAAAUGGAACUACACUAUGACCCAGUAAUUGCACUAUUGGGCAUUUACCCAAAGCGUACGAGAACACUAAUUAAAAAGGAUACAUGCACUUCCAUGUUUAUUGCAGCCUUAUUUGCAAUAGCCAAAUAAUGGAAACAGCUCAGUUGUCCAUUGAUAGAUGAAUGAAUAAAGAAGAUGUGGCAUAUAUAUAUGCAUAUAUAUACAUGUACAUAUAUGCAAUAGAAUAUUACUCAGCCAUAAAAAAGAAUGAAAUCUUGCCAUUUGCAGCAACAUGGAUGGAUCUAGAACAAAAUAAGCCAGUGAAAGACAAAUACCAUAUGAUUUCACUCAAAUUACAUUCACCGGAAUUUAAAGAACAAAACAAACAGAGGAAAGAAAAGUGACAAAACAGACUCUCCCGGACUUCAAGCUGUAUUACAAAGCUAUAAUUAUCAAGACAGUAUGGUACUGUCAUAAGAACAGACACUCAGAUCAAUGGAACAGAAUAGAGAACCCAGAAAUGGACCCACAAACAUAUGACCAACUAAUCUUUGACAAAGCAGGAAAGAAUAUCCAAUGGAAUAAAGACAGUCUCUUCAGCAAGUGGUGCUGGGAAAACUGGACAGCGACAUGCAGAAGAAUGAACCUGGACCACUUUCUUACACCAUACACAAAAAUAAACUCAAAAUACUACCUAAAUGUGGGAAGCCAUCAAAAUCCUCGAGGAGAAAGCAGGCAAAAACCUCUUUGACCUUGGCCUCAGCAAACUUCUUACUCAACACGUCUCCAGAGGCAAGAGAAACAAAAGCAAAAAUGAAUUACUGGGACCUCAUCAAAAUAAAGAGCCUCUGCACAGCAAAGGAAACAAUCAGCAAAACUAAAAGACAACUGACAGAAAGGGAGAAGAUAUUUGCAAAUGACAUAUCAGUUAAAGGGUUAGUAUCCAAAAUCUAUAAAGAACUUAUCAAACUUAACACCCAAAAAACAAAUAAUCCAGUGAAGAAAUGGGCAAAAGACAUGAAUAGACACUUCUCCAAAGAAGACAUCCAGGUGGCCAACCGACACAUGAAAAAAUACGCAACAUCACUCAUCAUCAGGGAAAUACAAAUCAAAACCACAAUGAGAUACCACCUCACACCUGUCAGAACAGCUAACAUUAAUAACUCAGGCAACAUCAGAUGUUGGCGAGGAUGUGGAGAAAAAGGAUCUCUUUUGCGCUGCUAGUAGGAAUGCAAGCUGGUGCAGCCACUCUGGAAAACAGUAUGGAGGUUCCUCAAAAAAUAAAAAUAGAACUACCCUACGACUCAGCAAUUGCACUACUAGGUAUUUAUCCAAGGGAUACAGGUGUGCUGUUUCAAAGGGACACAUGCACCCCAAUGUUUAUGGCAACACUAUCGACAAUAGCCAAAGUAUGGAAAGAGCCCAAAUGUCCAUCGAUGGUUGAAUGGAUAAAGAAGAUGUGGUAUAUAUAUACAAUGGAGUAUUCCUCGGCAGUCAAAAAGAAUGAAAUUGUGCCAUUUGCAACUACAUGGAUGGAACUGAAGGGUAUUAUGCUAAGUGAAAUUAGAGAAAGACAAAUAUGACUUCACUUAUAUGAAGACUUUAAGAUACAAAACAGAUGAACAUAAGGGAAGGGAAGCAAAAAUAAUAUAAAAACAGCGAGGGAGACAAAACAUAUGAGUCUUAAAUAUGGAGAACAAACGGAGGGUUACUGGAGGGUUUGUGGGAGGGGGGAUGGGCUAAAUGGGUAAGGGGCAUUAAGUAAUCUACGCCUGAAAUUAUUGUUGCACUAUAUGCUAACUUCCUGGGAUGUAAAUUAAAAAAUAAAUUAAAUUAAAAAAAAGAAUAAUGGCCCUGCAGGAACUUGGGAGAUGUUUUUUUCCAGACUGCACAUCACAUUAAAGGGGAAAAAAAUAAAGGGAGAGACAGAACCAACUUAAAAAGCAUUUCUUUGCCAGUUAAAGACUGGAUCAAAUAAAAUCGCAUUUUUUUUAUAAAGAAGAAAAAAAACCCAGAUUCUUAAUUAUAGAGAACAAACAGAUGGUUCCCAGAGGGGAGGUGGGUGGGGGAUGGAUGAAAAAGGUAAAGGAGAUUAGGAGCACACUUAUCUUGCUGAGCACUGAAUAGUAUAUGGAAUUGUUCUAUCACUAUAUUGUAUACUUGAAACUAAUAUAACAUUGGAUGUUCACUACACCGGAAUUAAUUUUUUUUUUUUAAUGGUGGUUAAUCUUAGUGGAACUUGAGCAGCUGCAGGAAUUGGGUUUGUGGUUCAAAUUUAGUGAAAGAUAAUUGACAUGAGAAUUGAUAGUUCUUGUAAUGCGUCUGUGUCCUGCACCACCAGUUACCAAAAAGUCAUUUGUUUUGUUUGAAUUUUUUCAGUCUGCAACUCAAAAAAGUACAAUUGUACGUAUUUGAAGCUUAUUGCUGACACUGAAGGCUGCUAGGCACUAGAGUGGGUCUUUGAGAGAAGACUGGACUGUCCUCACAUGGAAUUGGCAAUUCUCAAGUCUCUUACUGAUGAUAACGUACCGUCAUCUGACAAAGAGUUCAGUUCUCUUUUAUAAAUCAGAGUUGACUUAACUGGGAAGUUAACAGUGUCUGGAAGUAUCAUCAAGGGUGGGAAAAUGUUGGGGGCUGUUGUGCUGAAGACGGGGGGAGCCCCGUUUGCAGGUCUGAGAUGAUUACAGCCAAUUGGCCACCGUGGGCAGUACCUUCUAAUCCUGUAUACCUAUAACUUUUUGUCCCCAUACCUACCCCUAAGAGUGUUGGUAAACUAAGUAAUAAGAUGAAGAA